Molecule: ribosomal RNA, 435 nt
Filed under: uncultured bacterium
Lineage: Bacteria
Description: bacterial SSU rRNA
Rfam family: Bacterial small subunit ribosomal RNA
Source: RNAcentral
UACGGAAGCAGCAGUGGGGAAUAUUGCACAAUGGGCGGAAGCCUGAUGCAGCGACGCCGCGUGGGGGAUGACGGCCUUCGGGUUGUAAACUCCUUUCGACAGGGACGAAGCUUUUGUGACGGUACCUGUAUAAGAAGCACCGGCUAACUACGUGCCAGCAGCCGCGGUAAUACGUAGGGUGCGAGCGUUGUCCGGAAUUACUGGGCGUAAAGAGCUCGUAGGUGGUUUGUCGCGUCGUCUGUGAAAUUCCGGGGCUUAACUCCGGGCGUGCAGGCGAUACGGGCAUAACUUGAGUGCUGUAGGGGAGACUGGAAUUCCUGGUGUAGCGGUGAAAUGCGCAGAUAUCAGGAGGAACACCGAUGGCGAAGGCAGGUCUCUGGGCAGUUACUGACGCUGAGGAGCGAAAGCAUGGGUAGCGAACAGGGAUUAGAUACC